CUUCUUUGGUCAUUUAGAGGAAGUAAAAGUCGUAACAAGGUUUCCGUAGGUGAACCUGCGGAAGGAUCAUUACUGAAGAAAUGUGGUAGUAGGUUGAGCUGACUCCCUUAGGGGAGUAUGUGCUCGCUCUAUCGCUUUUUUCUACUCUCCACUGUGCACCUAUUGUAGGCUAUGAUAACUCUCAGGUCCCCCUGCUCUCUUUUCCCGCAAGGAAAAUAGGGGGGGUAUUUGGAUAGAAGGCUAUGCAUUCAUUUUGCUUGCUUUCGAUGUUGUAGCCUAUGCCUAUACACACUCUUGAUAGUCAUAUUGAAUGGUGUAUCAUUGGUCUUUUGACCGAUAAAUCAUAUACAACUUUCAGCAACGGAUCUCUUGGCUCUCGCAUCGAUGAAGAACGCAGCGAAAUGCGAUAAGUAAUGUGAAUUGCAGAAUUCAGUGAAUCAUCGAAUCUUUGAACGCACCUUGCACUCCUUGGUAUUCCGAGGAGUAUGCCUGUUUGAGUGUCAUUAAAUUCUCAAAACCUAACUGUUUCUUUUGAAUGGCUAGGCUUUUGGAUGUGAGGGUUGUUUUGCUGGCUUCAAUCGAGUCGGCUCCCUUUAAAUGCAUUAGUGGGUUGCUUCAUUCACUAUGAGUGUGAUAGUAUAUCUAUGCUCGUUACAGUGAACUGAUUAAAUCGAUCUGCUUCUAACCGUCUUGCUUCAAGACAAAUGACUAUUUGACCGACCUCAAAUCAGGUAGGACUACCCGCUGAACUUAAGCAUAUCAAUAAGCGGAGGAAAAGAAACUAACAAGGAUUCCCCUAGUAACUGCGAGUGAAGCGGGAAGAGCUCAAAUUUGAAAUCUGGCAGUCCUAUGGCUGUCCGAGUU
RNAcentral lists this small RNA (864 nucleotides) under uncultured Marasmiaceae. RNAcentral's name for it is "eukaryotic LSU rRNA". The stretch from base 350 to 503 matches the Rfam family "5.8S ribosomal RNA". Lineage: Eukaryota; Fungi; Basidiomycota; Agaricomycetes; Agaricales. The record is from RNAcentral.